GUGCCAGCAGCCGCGGUAAUACGGAGGGAGCUAGCGUUGUUCGGAAUUACUGGGCGUAAAGAGUACGUAGGCGGUGAUUCAAGUCAGAGGUGAAAGCCUGGAGCUCAACUCCAGAACUGCCUUUGAAACUAGAUCGCUAGAAUCAUGGAGAGGUUAGUGGAAUUCCGAGUGUAGAGGUGAAAUUCGUAGAUAUUCGGAAGAACACCAGUGGCGAAGGCGACUAACUGGACAUGUAUUGACGCUGAGGUACGAAAGCGUGGGGAGCAAACAGGAUUAGAUACCCUGGUAGUCCACGCCGUAAACGAUGAUAACUAGCUGUUCGGGGUCUACGAUCCUGAGUGGCGCAGCUAACGCAUUAAGUUAUCCGCCUGGGGAGUACGGUCGCAAGAUUAAA
This 394-nucleotide ribosomal RNA is filed under the name uncultured bacterium. RNAcentral describes it as "bacterial SSU rRNA". It matches the Rfam family "Bacterial small subunit ribosomal RNA", at positions 505 to 898 of the family's 1533-position model. The record is from RNAcentral.